Nicotiana tabacum (common tobacco) is the source of this 959-nucleotide non-coding RNA. NCBI's taxonomy places the organism in Eukaryota, Viridiplantae, Streptophyta, Magnoliopsida, Solanales, Solanaceae. The record is from RefSeq and is a predicted model, not a curated record.
AGAAGCCCUAGACUCCUUAGACCAAAAAUCCGUCGUUUCCCUCACAAAAAAAACAACCUGGAGCCACCCUUCUUCAAAGCCAUCAAUGACUUUUUAAGAUAGCGAACACAACAAACCCGAUUUGCCGCCCGUUUUCCGCUGAGAUCCGCCGGAAAUCAGCCUCCCCAUCCUUUUCUCUUCAAUACCCCAGCAACGACCACCCCAAACGACCCAUCUUUAGCCUAGAAAACCAACGGCAACGGCUCAAACAAAUGACCCCUUCUCUUGAACAAAAAUGGCGGAAGCCCAGGCUCCUCUCCUUCUUCAUUCUCACAUCUGACUCCUCACCAUCCCUCACUUCUCUGAAAAAUGCACACACUCGACCACGUACAUAUGAAACAGCUAAGAAAAAGAGCUUGAAACUUGAAAAAUCUGAGAUUCGGUAACCAAAUGUGAAGAACUCUGAAACGGAGAAGGAAAAGCAAUAGAAUUCUUGGUGGAUUUUAUAUUCAAAAUAAUUUGAGAGUUGUAGCUGUUUUGAAGCUACAAUUUCACUUGUAUUUCUAGAUUUUCAAAGUGGAUUCAAUGGUGAUUUACUGCUUGUUCGUAGUUGUUUCUUCAAUUUGAAGCCGUGGGUGGUUCUCCGCAUUUAUUUGCUAUGUUUAUGACCUUAUUAUCGCUAUCAAGGUCCUGAUAGGCAGGUAGACGCAGCUCCCCCACGAUAGUAGGCUGCUCAGUUCAUCAGUUAUUGGCAAGAUCCCUUCUCAGGACUUGCCGUGGUCUUGGUAUGCAUUUUUAUUAUAGACAUUAUGGGUAUGUCGGGGCCCUGUUCCGGCAAUGUUGCAGCACUUAUGUUCCUUUAGAGGCUCAUUGACAGGUGCCGACUUAUGUAUAGUUUGGAUUGCCUUGUCGACUGAUUUUUGUUGUAUAGUCUCUCAUGGCAGCUUGUCAGCUCGUACCUAAUAUAUAGCUUCAUAACA